Molecule: long non-coding RNA, 1002 nt
Filed under: Apteryx haastii (Great spotted kiwi)
Lineage: Eukaryota; Metazoa; Chordata; Aves; Apterygiformes; Apterygidae
Description: lncRNA (ENSAHAG00000013976.1)
Source: RNAcentral
GCCCAUGUUGGAAAUGGAUCCUUCACCUUGUAAUAACCCCAAGGUGUCUACUUGUUUGGGAGAUCCUCUGUUCCUUCCCCAUGGAUCAUUUACACUUCCCACUUGGCGGAGCAUGUUUUGGGCUCGGAGAUGUUGUCCUCAGAUGGCCACAGCCCCUGUUCCUCUGCAAAUGGGAGUCAGACCUCUGCACCCAAAAGACAGCCUGUUGGGGAGAGGAGCUUGGGAACAGGUGGGGGUGCCAUGGCCACCCCACAAGUCCCUGCUGACCCCAAGCAUUUUUCUCUGAGCCAUGAGGGGCAGUGCUGGGGGCAGUCCACCAGGGCCAUCUCCCCCAGACCCCUCCUGACCACASACCUCUGCUGCCCAGCACCGGCAGGCCCACAGCUGCUCUGCCCCAGCUGCCCCGUGCCCCUGGGGCUCCUCAGCCCUGCGGAGCGAGGCACCAGGGCCCAGCUCAGCCCCGCAGAGAGCAGCCCCUGCCUGGCUGCAGUCCAGCCCUGCCAGGUGCAGUGCAAGGGCUGCCAAGCUCCGAGACUGCCGCGGGCGGGGAGUUGGGGCCCCAGGGGUGACAGGGCCCUGCCCUGCCCUGGGGGCAGCAGGAUGCUGCCUGCGGGCUCCGGCACCCCGGCCAUGCCCAGGGCCCUGCACCACCACCAGGGCCAGCACCAGCACAAGCCCCGGGGCUGCCCCCCCAUGCCCGGCAUGGCCCCCAGGCACAGGGCAGCCAGAAGCCCCACAGGGCCACUGUGGCAGAACCCAGCCCUGGCAGGGCAGCCACCGGACCCUGGUGCCCCCCACUGCCCGGCCACACGGGGCCGCGCUGCCCCGAGGCCCCGCAAUGCCCCGCGCUGCUGCCCACAACAUGGCGCCACAUCGUGGGGGAGGGGAGAGGGCUUCCCUUGGGGUCACACAGGGCCGCARUGUUGCCUUGGCAUUGCCCCCAGUGCUGCCCUCCUAUUGGCCAGCAAGGGGAGGAGGGUAGGGCAGGUUUUGACUGAUGGC